This is a long non-coding RNA of Lucilia cuprina (Australian sheep blowfly), 870 nucleotides long. RefSeq lists it as uncharacterized. The transcript has 2 exons. NCBI's taxonomy places the organism in Eukaryota, Metazoa, Arthropoda, Insecta, Diptera, Calliphoridae. The record is from RefSeq and is a predicted model, not a curated record.
UCUGUAAACAAGUGGCAAUAGUAGUGAAGUUGGCUGCAGUUCAUGACCGGCCAUGAUUCCAAAAAUCACAAAAAAAAAUGGCCGGACUUUUAUGCUUCGACAAAAAAUGGAGUCAUGUCGUUGUGCAAAAUUAAUUAAAAAUUUUCAAUAAAAUACCCUAAAUUAAGUGCAAAAAAAGUGUUAAAACUCAAGUUAAAGUCUAAAGCGAAAACCUCAAACUGAUUUCCCACAAAAAAUUGUGUAAUUUUGACGUAAAAUUUACAUUUGAAAAAAGGCAACGAAAAAAUUUUUCUUCAUUCGCACAGACUGCAUACAAGCAAAAAAUUUUUUAUUCGUGUCCCGAAAUCGAAGCGUAGCUAGUUGUGGUAGUAAAGUAGAUGAAGAGUUGUUUGCUGGUGCUAUAAAGCUUAAAUCUUAAAUCCGCAAACGGUUCGUGUAAAUUUUCAUUAAUAUACAGAUAUAAAAAAAGGAAAAGAAAAAAAUCUAUUAAAAACCGUGGAAAUUUUUGUAAAAAUUGUGUAACUAUACAAAACAAAAAUAAGAAAAAAAAGUAUGAUAAUGCUGAAAAUUGUGUAUGUUAAUUGUGCAUUGAGAAAAUUGUAUAUUGACGACGAUUAGAAGAAAACAAUUGUAGAAAUUUUAAAAGAUAAAACAACAAUUUUAUAUUUUUGUGUUCUCUUAUCAUACUCUAUAGCUAUCCUUUUCUAUGCUAUAAGAAAGUUAUAUGUCAACAUGAAGAAGACAUCUAUACUAACAAACGUGGGUAGUGUGCAAAAAAAGUAAGGAAAAAAAAAACAAAAAAGAAAAACAAAUUGAAAAGAAAACAAAACAAAAAAAGAAAUACCACAAAAACCAACAACGAAUUAAAAA